CCAAACCUUGGACAUAAGAACAAGUAUAGCUCCAUAGCAUAAUUAACCUUCAAAAUUAAAACCCUAAAGAAAGCAAGUGGGAACAUGCAUGCCAAUUAUUUAAAAUUUGUAUUACUAGUUAAUCAAAUUUAGAAACAUGGGCCACAUUUUUAUAUUAUUUGCCCAUAAUUAAUUAUUUCUCGUACUCUUAAUAAGCUCCAUUGUCAAAUUGGGUGUGCCCUUAGAGCCCUAUAUAUAGUAAACCCUAAACCAAUAUUUCCAUCACAACACACCAAAGCUCUCUCUCUCU
This 289-nucleotide long non-coding RNA is filed under the name Linum usitatissimum (flax). RNAcentral's name for it is "long non-coding RNA (LUSI_LNC001060)". The record is from RNAcentral. Lineage: Eukaryota; Viridiplantae; Streptophyta; Magnoliopsida; Malpighiales; Linaceae.